CUGCAGUUUACUAAGAGUUUUAUGGUUUCGGGGAAAGUCCUGAUACUGUCUUAACCUUAUCCAAAAACACUUUAUUGUUGUUAAAUUAUUUAAAACAGUUAUAAAAAGAAUACUAAAUAUACCGUUAUGAAACGGUAUUAAAAUGAACUGCAAAUGGUAAGGCGAGGUCAUCCUGUGCAGACACUCUACCUGCGCCAUCUACCUACAUCCACCUCUUUCUAAAAACAAGUUUUCUGACUGGCAGAAGAGAGGAAAAUAGAGACACCAUUGCCACAGAGGUCACCGCCUUGCCUGGAAGUCUUUUCUCUGGGCACUGCCCACCUUACCUCCAAUGCUACCUCUGAGGUCACUGCGUGGACAGCCCAAGUCUCUUCUCCAUUCUGCUGUCUCCAACACUGCUAUUGCCAAAGCUGCUACCUCUGAUGUGGGUGCUGCCACCCUGAGGUCGCCUGGAGAUCUUCUUCAUGGAUGCUGCUGCUGCCACUGCAGACACCGCUACCCCCAAUGAACACUGCUGCUGUCCUCCCCACUACCAGAUCGCCUGGGUGGCGCUGCCCCCGUGGUCGCGGUUGCAGCCACUACUGCAGCCAUCUCUACAGACCCUUGCAGUACCAUUGCUGCUGACGCGAUACCUGCUGCCACCAACCACCACCAUCACUACCGCUGCUACCACGCCUAGAGGAUUGCUGUGGGGGAGACUCCAGGUUUGGUUGCUCGUGGCAACAUCCAUCUUGGGGCGCCAACCAGGGGCUGGGGCCAGGGUGCCACAAGAGCCUCUGUCUGGGGACUCUGACCAGGACCUGCAGGUCAGUGUGGGGGUGCCUGUGGGUUUGGAGGUGCCUGGGGUCUUCCUGCUGGGAGAGCCGGUGGCCCUUGUCUUGCUGCUGCAAUUUAGGGCUGUUCCUUUGCAUGAGUGUAUCCCUGGUGGUCUCUCUGCAAUAGGAGCAGCACUGAGAUCGUGGGGCUGCAGCCUGGCCGAGCGUGAUGUAUGUGAAACCCAGAUUGGUGGGAUAGAGUCUGGGUCUGGUGAUCCCCCAAGAUGUCAGAGGCAGGGCUGAGAAACUUUGAAACACUGAUGGAGACAGUUCAACUUUCCAUUGAGAAUUAUUUUAUUUUAUUUUUUGAUUCACUAACAUCUCCACCAUAUUUGGAUCAGGGUGUUUUUUACGCAUCAGUAAAGGGAGGACAAUGAUAUAUGAAUGAUGUUUUGCAUUUUUGUUGUAUUUUUAUAUCUUUCAUUUUUUUCUCUUUGUUCGCAUUCUUCCUAUCACUUGUCUUUUUUUCUUGGAUUCUCUUUCCAACUGUUCUCCAACCAACAACCAAUCUCUGUCAGCUCCUUUUCCACUCUUCCUGUGAAUCUUUGCUUCUAGUUUCUCUCUUCUUCCCUUGCAAACACUGCAUAGAAUUAAUUCUGUUCUUGCAUCCACUAUUUGAAAUUGUAAAUCACUUUUAGCAAAUUUUCUGUUUAUACUAUAGAUAGUUAUUGAACUCAUCAUUUCUGUUUAAUGCGAGAGAGCUAUAGACGCCUUAGUGGGAGAUACUAGUUUUAAGGCUAUAUAUUGUUUAUACUGGGUGCUGUUGAUAUUGGUCUCACCAUUAAAGGAGAGGCACUGGAAACCUUCAGGGACCCCAUAGGUCUACAGGGUAGAAUUUGUGCUGCCUUAGAUCCAUACUGCUAGGUGGGAAAACACAUGAACAACAUGGAAAAAAAAGGGGGGGAAUCACGUGCCCCAAGCAAACCAAGAUGCUCCAAUAACAGAAGUCACAAUAACACAGAAGGAAUGAUCAAGAAGGAGUUCAGAUUGUACAUAGUUAAACUGAUCUGUGAAUUAAAGGAUAGUAUAAGGAGAGAAAUCAAAAACAAACUACUGGAAGUGAAAGACCACUGCAGUAAAGUUAGAGAUUGUGAAAAAAAAAAUCAGAAAUUCUCAAAAUGAAGGAAUCAAUAAACCAAAUUAUAAAUUCAAUAGAAAGCAUCACCAACAGACUAUCUGACCACUUGGAAGAUAGAACCUCAGACAAUGAAGACAAAAUAUAUAAUCUUGAAAGUAGAGUUAACCAUGCAGAAAAGACAGUAAGAAACCAUGAACAUCCAAGAAUUAUGAGAUAACAUGAAAAACUGAAUUUAAGAGUUAUCAUAAUAGAUGAAGGAGCAGAGAUAUAAACCAAAGGAAUGCACAAUUUUUUCAAUGACAUAGCAGAAAAUUUCCCAAACCUAAAGAAUGGAAUGGAAAAUCAAAUACAAGAGGCUUACAGGACCCCAAUGUACAAAAUUAUAGCAGACCCACACCAAGACAUGUUAUAAUGAGAUGGACUAAUACACAGAAUAAAGAUAAAAUCUUAAAGGUAAUGAGAGGAAAAAAAAUAAAAUUACACAUAGGAGAAACCAAUUUGAAUCUCAAUGGAUUUCUCAUUCCAGACCCUCAAAGCUAUGAGGUCCUGGAAUAAUAUAUUUCAAGCUCUGGAACAAAAAGGAUGCCAACCAAGAAUUUUAUAUGUAGCAAAAUUAAAUGAAACCUCUAUCUCUCACCCUACACAAAAAUCAGCUGGAUAAAGUGGAUAAAAGACUUAGGUACUAGAACAGAGACUCUGCACCUAAUAGAAGAAAAAGUAGGCCUAAAACUUCACCAUGUCGGCCUAGGAUCUGACUUCCUUAACAAGACCCCUAAAGUGUAAAAAAGUAAAAUCAAGGGUCAAUAAAUGGGAUGGAUUCAAAUUAAAAAAACUUUUUAUCAGCAAAGAAAACAAUCAAUAACGUGAGGAGAGAGCCUACAAAUUGGGAAAAAAUCUUUACCACAUACACCUUUAAUAAAGCAUUAAUCUCUAGGAUACAUAAAGAACUCAAAAAAACUUAACACCAAAAAAAAAAAAAAAACCUCAAUAAAUGGGCUAAGGAACUGAACAGACACUUCACAGAAGAAGAAAUACAAUUAAUCAAGAAAUAUAUGAAAAAAUGUUCAACAUCUCUAGCAAUUAGAGAAAUGCAAAUUAAAACUACACAAAGAUUUCAUCUCACUCCAGUCAGAAUGGCAAUCAUCAAGAAUAGCGGCAACAAUAAAUGUUAGCGAGGAUGUGGUGAAAAGAUACACUCAAGACAUUGCUGAUGGGACUGCAAAUUGGUACAACCACUAUGAAAAGCAGUAUGGAGAUUCCUCAGAAAACUUGCAGUGGAAUCACCAUUUAACCUAGUUAUCCCACUCCUUAGUUUAUACCCAAAGGACUUAAAAUCAGCAUUCUACAGUAAUACAGCCACAUCAAUGUUUAUAGCAGCUCAAUUCAUCAUAGUUAAGCUAUGAAACCAAUAUAAGUGUCCUUCAAUAGAUGAAUGGACAAAGAAAAUGUGGUAUAUAUAUUUAUUCAGUGAAAUAUUACUCAGCAUUAAAGAAGAAUGAAAUUAUGGCAUUUGCUAGUAAAUGGAUGGAGUUGGAGAAUAUCAUACUGAGAAAAAUAAGCCAAUCCCCCAAAACCAAAGACUGAAUGUUUUCUCUAAUAUGUGGAUGCUAAUUCACAAUAAGCAGGGAGGGGAGGGACACUAGAGAAGAAUAGAGUUACCUUAGAUAGGUAGAGGAGAGUGAGGGAGUAGAGUGGAAGGGAUUUAGAAAUAGGAAGGAUAGUAGAAUGAAACAGACAUCAUUACUGUAGGUAUAUAAGUGACUACAUGACCAAUGUGAUUCUACAACAUGUACACUCAGAAAAAUAAGAAAUUAUAUCCCAUCUAUGUAUGAUAUAUCAAAAUGUAUAAAUGCAUUCUACUGUCAUGUAUAACUAAUUAAAACAAAUAAUUUUUUUUAAAAAAAAAGAAAUGAAAAUAAGAUAAUAAAGGUUAGUCUGGGCAUGAUGGAACUCACCUGUAAUCCCAGUGAUGGCAGAGGCUGAGGCAGGAGGAUUACAAGCUCAAGGUCAGCCUCAGCAACUUAGUGAGUCUCUAAUCAAUCUAGUGAGACACUGUCUCAAAUGUAAACUAAAAAGAGGUAGGGGUGUAGCUCAGAGGUAAAGUGCACCUGGUUUAAAUUUCCAGUACAAAAAUAAAUAAAAUAAAAGUUUAGGAUGGAGAAAAACAAACUUCAUUCAGAUGGUUAGGACAACUUCUGUGGGCAGGCGUGACCUCUGGCCUGUGUUUCCAGCGUCCAGUGCAGAGCUGGGCACACGCAGCAUGAGCAUCAUAUAGAAGGGACAAGGCCUGUGUCUCCAGGCACAUGAAGACUUUUCCAGAAACAAACUCUGAACAUUUUCUGCUGAGUAGGAUAUCAUAAGAACUGAACAGCUUAACAGGUAAUGCUCACAGGAGGUUUACACAGCAAAUGACAAGGUAGAUUCCAGAUGGCAUUUGAUGUGGUGACUUUUGUGGGACAGCAAGGACUUCAUAUGAACUGAGAUCUGAAGGCAGCAUCCUCAGGGCGUGGGUGAGGCCCCUCAGGAACAGUGGAGAUGCGGUUGUCCUGGCUGUCCAGAUCUUUUCUCUCCAACCCCACCUCCCUCAUCCCCUUUCCCUCUAUUUUCUUCCUUCCUUUCCUCCCCUCCUUGAACUCAUUCCCAGAAAGCCACACAAAGUCCCAAAGACUGUGAACUCCAGAUCAGAUGAUCAGAUCCCUCUCUCUCAUACCUACGGCAGUUUACUCUGAGCACAUUACUAACCGCUCUGCUUUCUUAUUUGUAAAAUGGGGUUAAUUACAUCUACCUCUUGGGAUUUUUUUGUGACAGUUAAUGGAGAGAAUGCAUAAAAUUGAUUAAACAAUUUGCUGAGUCCACCACAGGUGACAUGUAGAGAUCAGUUAUAACAAUAACAAUAAUAGCAACAAAAUGAAUAAUUACUUCAUUCGUUUGGCGAUUAAUUUUGAGUGCCUAUUAUACAGUAGGUGAUGUGCUAGGUGUUGGAAGUUCAAACCUAAAUUGCAUUACCUAAACUCUGGAAACUUCUAUUUAAUAGUAGAGACAGAUAUCUAAACAGAUAACUUCAGAACAAGUAAAUAUUAUGAAGAAUUAUAAAAGAGGGCCCAAAUAGAAAUUCAGCCAAGAGAAGAAUGGAAGGCAAAGACAUCUUUCUGGGGAAGACUGGCCUCGGAAGCAAAUCCAGUAGAUGCAAACAUAGUGCCUUUCCCUCUGCCAGGCACUGUACAUAUCCUACUUUAUAUAAUCUUUUCAACCAUCCCACAAUGUGCUUUUAUGACUGUUUUAUGAACUGGGAAGCUGAGGCAGGGAGAAGUGGCAUAACUUGGCUAUAGGCACCAAGCUAGAACGUGACGAAGUGAGUGGCUGUGUUUCUAGUCCUUGUCAUUGUUUCUCCAGGCUCGCAACUCUGAAAGGAUGUGGCAGUUAUGUGGGUGGCACCUACCUACAUGCAAGGAAGUCAGCAUCCGUGUGAGUCACAGAUGAAGGGACAGCGCAACCAUAGGAGGAGAAGGUGGCUCUCAGCUGCAGGUGUGCAGGAACGUGGCAGAGGAGUGAUGAGCAGAGACGCAGGUAACGGUGGGAACACCACGCUAAGGGACUGGGACCGUGUCCUGUUGGACCUGAACACGAUCACAUGAGAGUCUGAACACAGCAUUCAAGCAAGAAUAAUGCUGUGUAUGGCCCUGAGAAAAUGAUGAACCAUCUCUAAGGUUUGACUUUAUUAGGGGAAAAAGGAACAUAAAAAGUACAUUGCAGAGAGAGCAAUCAUGUAUGAAUACACAUGAAAUUCAUGACACCAGUAGACAUUCAAGAAAUGGUCGUUAUUCUUGUAAAGCAUGUUAUAAACAGCUCAAUUGGAAGAACUGAGGACAUAUAUGAGCCCAAGUAUUAUGGUCUGGAUAUGAGGUGUUCCCCAAUAGCUCCUGUGUUAAUGCAAAAUUAUUCGGAGGCAAAAUGUUGGAUUAUAAGAGCUAUAACUGUAGGCAGAUGGGGUGUGGCUGGAGGUGGCUCACUGUGUCCUGCCUGGUAAGGGUUCAUUUCCCUUGAAGUCCAUUCUCCACUGGCUCCCUGCUUGCUGGCUGCCAUGAACUAGGCUGUUUUCCUCCACCAUGCCCUUUGGCCAUGAUGUUCUGCCUCAUCUUGGGUCCAGAACAAUGGAAUGGGCUGAUCAUGGACUGAACCUCUGAAACUGUGAGCCAAAAUAAACUUUCCCUCUUUUAAGUGGUUUGUGUCAGGUCUUUUGGUCACAGCAACAAUAUACCUAAUAUACCAAGGCUCUAUUAAUCCCAAAUGAAGUAUAGAGAACCUACAUCCUAUAUAGGGUCAGAGCCUACAUAGAGC
Molecule: long non-coding RNA, 6231 nt
Filed under: Marmota monax (woodchuck)
Lineage: Eukaryota; Metazoa; Chordata; Mammalia; Rodentia; Sciuridae
Source: RNAcentral